Molecule: ribosomal RNA, 87 nt
Filed under: Phocaeicola barnesiae
Lineage: Bacteria; Pseudomonadati; Bacteroidota; Bacteroidia; Bacteroidales; Bacteroidaceae
Also listed under: 1 other name
Source: RNAcentral
UUCCACCUCUUCCCAUUCCGAACAGAGAAGUUAAGCUUCGUCACGCCGAUGGUACUGCGCAAGUGGGAGAGUAGGUAGUCGCCGUCU